ACUCUCUCAUUCUCUUUCUCAUUAGUCCUGAACACUGGUCUUGGUGCUUGUAAAAUAACACUGAGGCUGGCCUCACAGCUUUGCAGUUUGGUAUACACUAUGUGGGCUAGUUUCAAGCAGGG
Small nucleolar RNA from Sciurus vulgaris (Eurasian red squirrel), 122 nucleotides. The record is from Ensembl. NCBI's taxonomy places the organism in Eukaryota, Metazoa, Chordata, Mammalia, Rodentia, Sciuridae.